Molecule: transfer RNA, 83 nt
Filed under: Chrysemys picta bellii (western painted turtle)
Lineage: Eukaryota; Metazoa; Chordata; Testudines; Emydidae
Description: tRNA-Leu (TAA) (tRNA-Leu-TAA-7-1)
Rfam family: tRNA
About the family: Transfer RNA (tRNA) molecules are approximately 80 nucleotides in length. Their secondary structure includes four short double-helical elements and three loops (D, anti-codon, and T loops). Further hydrogen bonds mediate the characteristic L-shaped molecular structure. tRNAs have two regions of fundamental functional importance: the anti-codon, which is responsible for specific mRNA codon recognition, and the 3' end, to which the tRNAs corresponding amino acid is attached (by aminoacyl-tRNA synthetases). tRNAs cope with the degeneracy of the genetic code in two manners: having more than one tRNA (with a specific anti-codon) for a particular amino acid; and 'wobble' base-pairing, i.e. permitting non-standard base-pairing at the 3rd anti-codon position.
Source: Rfam by way of RNAcentral
ACCAGAAUGGCUGAGUGGUUAAGGCGUUGGACUUAAGUUCAAAUAGACAUGUGUCUGCGUGGGUUCAAUCCCCACUUCUGGUA